UUAAAUUACACUCUUUCGAACUAGCCAAAUAUUUAUUUGUCUAACUUGCUGCAGAUGUGCGGAGACGUGUCGUUGGGCAGCUAUUCGGUCAGCAGCUUUCAACAUUGUGGUCAAAGGUCGUGAAGGUUGGGCGGGACAGGCGAGCAGUAGUUGCGGCACAACGUUGCCGCUGACCUCGCCCGCAUCAUCAACAGCUGUUAAAGCGUGGCCAGGGGCCAGCUCCUGGCAUCAGGCGAUCGAUGAUCGCAUCGCGGAACAGCAGCUGCAAUCCCAGUGUGCGCACUCUGCAGAUCCAUCUGUGCACUGAGAGAAACGCAUGCUUGCACCUCAAAAUGCUGCAGUUGUUGCGACUUGUGCUCGGCCAGCUAUGUGAGCCACUUUUUCACAGCUGUUCAGGGCAUCAUUUUCUAUGUCCAGCUACCUUUAAGGUUCUUGUCGAUACGCACGCUCCGGGAGCUCGUGAACAGGAACCUUCGCGAUAUAUUGAAUCCUCAGCUUCAAGAUGCGACAGCGCUUUACACUAUUUCGGCCAGUAAAUGGCAUCAGCAGCAAUUGAGCAAUGCUAGAGCCCAGUAACUUGCACGGGGUGCAAGCGCCUUGUUUAUCUCCAAGUAAAUGGCCACACGAGACUACAAACGACUG
This 642-nucleotide small RNA is filed under the name Drosophila virilis. RNAcentral's name for it is "GJ26476". The record is from RNAcentral. Lineage: Eukaryota; Metazoa; Arthropoda; Insecta; Diptera; Drosophilidae.